This 211-nucleotide ribosomal RNA is filed under the name Betaproteobacteria bacterium RIFCSPLOWO2_12_FULL_68_20. Its description in RNAcentral is "partial 23S ribosomal RNA". It matches the Rfam family "Bacterial large subunit ribosomal RNA", at positions 2725 to 2925 of the family's 2925-position model. Lineage: Bacteria; Pseudomonadati; Pseudomonadota; Betaproteobacteria. The record is from RNAcentral.
CACGCCAGUGGCAUCGCCGGGUAGCUAUAUGCGGAAGCGAUAACCGCUGAAAGCAUCUAAGCGGGAAGCGUGCCCCAAGAUGAGACUUCCCGGGGACUUGAUCCCCCUGAAGGGUCGUCCUAGACCAGGACGUUGAUAGGCGGGAUGUGCAAGGGCCGUGAGGCCUUCAGCUAACCCGUACUAAUUGCCCGUGCGGCUUGACCCUAUAACC